Triticum dicoccoides is the source of this 1964-nucleotide long non-coding RNA. RefSeq lists it as uncharacterized. The record is from RefSeq and is a predicted model, not a curated record. Lineage: Eukaryota; Viridiplantae; Streptophyta; Magnoliopsida; Poales; Poaceae. The transcript has 3 exons.
UAAGGGGAAGCGCAUCACCGUCGUGGGGUCCGGCAAGUCAGCCUUUGAGAUCGCCGCCGAGUGCGCCGACGCCAAUGGCGCGGGGACGCCGUGCACGAUGCUGUGCCAGAACCCUCAUUGGCUGCUACCAUCGGGGGGAAGUUGAGCGAGCAUGGCAAAGCCAAAGAUAUCUUCCUUGGAGCUACCAUUUAAUUCAUAAGAUGUCAAGUAAUAGCUUGAAGUUUAGGUGAUAAAAAUGCUAAUAUGAUGAUCAGGUCAGGUAUAAUAUCACAGAAAAUGUAAAAAAAUAUCAUUGGAGUUGUUUUCAUUAUAGUAAUCAGAAUGCUUUGUCUUGCACCAUUAUUUGUUGAACAUCUUUAUUUGUAGGAUGUAGGCUGAGUUUCAGAAGAUGAGAGUUGAAAUGGCUGGAAUGAGAACAAAAAAAAUGGCAGCUUGGUCUUUACAAUUGCAGUUUCAAUUCCUUAUUUGAGUCUAACUCAGGUGUUUCAUAGACUUUCCGAAAUAUCUAUUUUUGAACCUUACUGAAGUUGGCCUCUUACUGAGGAAAAAAGUCUAUGAAUGGAUCAUCUGAAAAACAAGACGUUACAGUUCCUUAAAAUUAAAAGUGAAAUUGCUUGCCAAAUACAGUAACAGGUAACUCCAAUAUUUGUUGGAAUGAGAUAACGUAUGCCAGGUGAAUAUUUGUAGAGUUACCUGUUAGGGUUCUGUUUAGUCUGUUAUGUUUCCCUCUAUUUUUUUUAUUGCUUAGCUAGGGUAGAUAUUUUUAGUCUGUUAUGUUUUCCUUGAUUUUUAAUUUUUUUGCUUAGCUAGGUUAGAUAUUUGUUUCCAGGUGUUACAACAUGGCUUAGCACCUACUACAUCAACGUUUCUCUGCUCCAAUUCUUACCGUCCCACAUCUCAAAGAAUUUGUGUGGUAGUCCCUAUCAUGAAAAAAAGUAGAACAAUUUCUAGCUUUCAUAUGCAUUUGUUUAUGCUGUAAUGUUUAAGAAUGAAGCAUUGAUCAAGGCCCCACAAAGGUGAUGUAGUGAUAUCGUGAUGUUCUAUACGCUAAUUGGAUGCAGGUGACAUGUCUCUCCUUUUCAAUUUCUCUUAUCGCAGGUUUGAUCGGAUGGAAUUCACACACUUGGAUCGAAGGAUUUGUGAUAUCAUUAGUUGUCACAUUGAAUGGGUAUGAUCUACAAAUUUGAUCUGGGAAUGAAUGGCUAUGUACUGGUUAUGCCGAUAGGAUGAUAAAGGUUCAGUGUAUAGCCUGCAUUCCUGUCUUGCAAGUUUAAGUUGAAUUCAUGUAGUAGUUAUCACAACAUGUAUUGGCACUAUUAAUUUCUUAGAGUCUUGUCUUUACAGGUGUCUGCAAUUUCUGUUGUUUUAUGCAUCUAUUUGUAUGAUGCAAUAUGUUCCAGUUUUGGGAAUCUUGUUGGACUUAGUUGGACAACUAUUGUGAUGUUGAUGCACAAAUACCAUAAUUUACUAUUAUCCGAAUUGCUUUAGGCAAGGAAGAAGGUGGAUGGAGCGCCGAGGAACAUGAUAAGGAAGGGGUCGGAUGAGAGAGGAGAGAAGAGUAGGGUGAAGGACGAGAUGGAGGGAAAGAGGGACAAGGACAUGGUGAACGGAGUUUCUUGAGGCGGAGGGUGGGGGCUUCUCGGAGGAGGAGAUGUUGGACUUCUCCUUGUCCUAGCUUGUUGCUGCCUUUCUGGGUAGGGGCCAGUCUGUCCUCAUGAGGUUGUUGUGAAAUUCCUCACCGAGACUUCAGUGAUGCUGGGACAACUCAAGCAUGAAAUGUUAUGGUAGUUUGUUUGGGAAAUUGUAAAUUCUUAUGCAUGUGUGGUAGAGUACAUUGGAAAAUAAGGUCGGGCAGUGGGAGGAUUUGUCAACCAGUUUCAUACUCUUAUUAUAAUUGGGGGUUAGGUUAGCAUUUUGUACAGCAGCUCACGUCUAAAAGAAAAUUUUAAGGUGCUGGCUUGUUA